Molecule: non-coding RNA, 26 nt
Filed under: Homo sapiens (human)
Lineage: Eukaryota; Metazoa; Chordata; Mammalia; Primates; Hominidae
Source: RNAcentral
UCCCAGCAGCCUGUGUGCGGCCCAGC